This 433-nucleotide ribosomal RNA is filed under the name uncultured bacterium. Its description in RNAcentral is "partial 16S ribosomal RNA". It matches the Rfam family "Bacterial small subunit ribosomal RNA", at positions 29 to 507 of the family's 1533-position model. The record is from RNAcentral.
AACGAACGCUGGCGGCAUGCCUAACACAUGCAAGUCGAACGAGACCUUCGGGUCUAGUGGCGCACGGGUGCGUAACGCGUGGGAACCUGCCCUUAGGUUCGGAAUAACUCCCCGAAAGGGGUGCUAAUACCCGAUAAUGUCUUCGGACCAAAGAUUUAUCGCCUUUGGAUGGGCCCGCGUUGGAUUAGCUAGUUGGUAGGGUAAAAGCCUACCAAGCCGACGAUCCAUAGCUGGUCUGAGAGGAUGAUCAGCCACACUGGGACUGAGACACAGCCCAGACUCCUACGGGAGGCAGCAGUGGGGAAUAUUGGACAAUGGGCGAAAGCCUGAUCCAGCAAUGCCGCGUGAGUGAUGAAGGCCUUAGGGUUGUAAAGCUCUUUUACCCGGGAUGAUAAUGACAGUACCGGGAGAAUAAGCUCCGGCUAACUCCGUG